CUUAUUCGCCCAAAGGUGGGCCCCCACCUGUACGGCUUUCCCUUGGGCUGAGCAGAAAACAAGAUCUGGGGUUCGGUCGAGCAUCAGGUGUUGUAUCAUGGUUUGAAGAUUCGUAUUCGGUCGGAUCCUGUCCGGUUCGACACCCCGAUCACCCCGAUUGGGCGGAGUGAGGUCGAUUCAUCUCUGACUCGGGCGAGUCACGAAUCGACUCACGGCCUUUAACCAUGUGUAAUAUUCAAUGUUUCGUUUGCUGUUUCUUUGUCGCUUAAGUGGAAGAUCCGAGCCGUGGAACUGGUGGGCCAUGGCAUAGAGAUUGGGUGGAGAAAAAAUUGGAACGAUCGAGUCAUCAGGCGGGUUGUGAGCAUCUGUUGAGUGAGAUCUUUGGCUGUACGUUGGUUUCAACAGUGCAGCCGGCCUGAUGGAUGGACCAUCCUGAUGUCCGUCACAGUGGAUCUUUACGAUGCGGCCCGCCUUUUGCACGGCUCGGAUGUUAUACACAAGUGACGUGUGGAGAAAUGAUCAUGUGCCCCCUCAAUGGAGUGGAGAAGUUACCAUCUGCCAUUCAGUUACGUGUCUCCUAAAUCCAAACCGUUGAAACCCUUGAAAUCAUUGGGGAAAAUCGGGCUUUGAACUCUUUAGGUGGGCCACACUGUAGAAAAUAAUGGAUUGCCAGUGAAUUGACUUAAUGUACAUGCGACGGUACACUUGGUGAGUGGUUCGGUUAGUUUCUAUGACCUUUGAUCUUCAAGCUGGGCCCUACUUUUUCAGUGGCUCAGAUGUCAUCACUGUGGCAGCCUGGUUACUCUCAUGCUGUUUGUUAAGCACUAGAGGAAGGAUUAUUUGGCACAUGUGGCGCAUGUGCAUGUCAAAAACUUGACACAUGUGGUGCUUGAAAAUAUGUGGUAACAUAUGUCCCACACGUGGUGCAGGUUCGAAUGUUGAAAACUUGAUGCGUGCGUGGUGUGUGGUGUUUUUUCUACAUAUUGGAUGUCAUGGUGGCACAUAGGACAUGUGGAGUGCUUGAAAAUGUAUGGUGGCUCACUUGGGCUAUGCCUCACGUACAAAUUUAGCACAUGAAGUGCACUUAAAGGUUGAAUUUGGCACAUUUGUGAUGCUUGAAGAUGGACGGUGGCAUAUUUGCACAUGUGGCACAUGUUUACAAGUAAAUGGUCUGAUAUGUAUCAUAAUGGGAAUAAGUAAGUUUAAAAUUUAUUAAGAACAACAAAGGUGAUGUAGGAUAAUGGAAACUACUGUCGGAUGCAAGAUGAGAAAUCAAUUUACACAUUAAUUUCAGCAAUCAACUUGUAAAAUCAAAUAUAGUCACGUAAUGGACAAAAAUGUCCUAGGUUAUCACAUAUAUGGUGCAUGAAAAUAUAAAAUAAUUCAAGAGUGGAUAGACAAUGAUACAAGCAAAAUUUUGGUUUAGGAAAAGUUUCACAAAAAAAUCGAAUUUUUAUUAGGGUUUUGUAUUCAUGGGUGGAGAUUUAGGAAUUGAAUUUUUAGGGAUUCAAAGGAUCUAGGAUUAAAGGAGUUUUGGAGGGAAAUCAAAGAGGGAAAAACCCUAAAUGAGGCCCACACGUGGCUGCUUGUAAAGACGCACGUGCAUGCGUGCGUAUGCACAUGCGCACAUGUGACUCCACAUGUGGCUAGGUAAAAGGGAAGAAAGAGAGGGAUGAUUGAGUAGGGUUUUGAUGUGUUUAGAAGGUUGUAAUGGAAUGGAAUGGAGGAAGACAAGAGAAGAAGAAAAA
This is a long non-coding RNA of Magnolia sinica, 1748 nucleotides long. RefSeq lists it as uncharacterized. The record is from RefSeq and is a predicted model, not a curated record. NCBI's taxonomy places the organism in Eukaryota, Viridiplantae, Streptophyta, Magnoliopsida, Magnoliales, Magnoliaceae. The transcript is spliced from 2 exons.